RNAcentral lists this ribosomal RNA (863 nucleotides) under Staphylococcus hominis. RNAcentral describes it as "bacterial SSU rRNA". It matches the Rfam family "Bacterial small subunit ribosomal RNA", at positions 54 to 898 of the family's 1533-position model. Lineage: Bacteria; Bacillati; Bacillota; Bacilli; Caryophanales; Staphylococcaceae. The record is from RNAcentral.
AAUGCAAGUCGAGCGAACAGACGAGGAGCUUGCUCCUUUGACGUUAGCGGCGGACGGGUGAGUAACACGUAGGUAACCUACCUAUAAGACUGGGAUAACUUCGGGAAACCGGAGCUAAUACCGGAUAAUAUUUCGAACCGCAUGGUUCGAUAGUGAAAGAUGGCUUUGCUAUCACUUAUAGAUGGACCUGCGCCGUAUUAGCUAGUUGGUAAGGUAACGGCUUACCAAGGCAACGAUACGUAGCCGACCUGAGAGGGUGAUCGGCCACACUGGAACUGAGACACGGUCCAGACUCCUACGGGAGGCAGCAGUAGGGAAUCUUCCGCAAUGGGCGAAAGCCUGACGGAGCAACGCCGCGUGAGUGAUGAAGGUCUUCGGAUCGUAAAACUCUGUUAUUAGGGAAGAACAAACGUGUAAGUAACUGUGCACGUCUUGACGGUACCUAAUCAGAAAGCCACGGCUAACUACGUGCCAGCAGCCGCGGUAAUACGUAGGUGGCAAGCGUUAUCCGGAAUUAUUGGGCGUAAAGCGCGCGUAGGCGGUUUUUUAAGUCUGAUGUGAAAGCCCACGGCUCAACCGUGGAGGGUCAUUGGAAACUGGAAAACUUGAGUGCAGAAGAGGAAAGUGGAAUUCCAUGUGUAGCGGUGAAAUGCGCAGAGAUAUGGAGGAACACCAGUGGCGAAGGCGACUUUCUGGUCUGUAACUGACGCUGAUGUGCGAAAGCGUGGGGAUCAAACAGGAUUAGAUACCCUGGUAGUCCACGCCGUAAACGAUGAGUGCUAAGUGUUAGGGGGUUUCCGCCCCUUAGUGCUGCAGCUAACGCCUUAAGCACUCCGCCUGGGGAGUACGACCGCAAGGUUGAA